UCACUAGACGGCUCCUCCUAUUUAGGAAUAUUAAUUAUCGAUAUUCGCAUAAUAUGGGUGAUUAAUAUUCCCCCUUUACAUUGGCGAGCCAGGCCCACUGCGUGGAUUUUGCAUUUGUUUUUGGUCUUAAGGCUGAGGGUCGCUAGUACUGUGAAUUAGCGGGCAGGAGAGACGCAGUCAGCGGAGUGUCUGAGCGUCUAGGACCCAAUAAUUCGGACAGGAGAAGCGAUACUUCCCUUACAGUACCAGAAAUAAAACAAAAUCUUUUGCAGAGAAUCUAAUUGUUCUGUGAAUUAAUAUUUUGCUAUUUGCUUUGCACGGUCACUACAUCGCUCGAGUGAUUGCGAGGGAGAAGAGGAUACGUCACUGAAGGAGAGCCAUCUUCGUGGGAGCAGCGUACAAAGUCAGGCUGGUCGGGAAGAAGCGAUCCGGGAAAAUGGACUUCUUCCAAGCAGCUGCUAGGACAAAGAGGUACGGCCCCAAGGAGAAGAUGGACGCUCAUCAAACGGUUUGCGAUCUUGGAGUACCUCUAUGAAAAUAAGUGAAUAAUUCCAUAUCAGCACAGCUUCACAAGGGAUCAGUCAUGUCAAACUAAUUUGAUCAGUUUCUAUGACGAGGGUGGUGAGGGAUAAAUGCUGGGGCUCUGGGUCUGCCAACUGCGAAGAGUAAGAAAGACUGAUGAGAAAAAACAACUGAGGAGAACCUGAUGGAAAUGCUACAUUUCUUACAAUGAAACGCCAAACUACAGAUUAUCCCGAGCUCAGCUCAAGGAAGAAAACAAGAUUUUUUUUUUUAAGCUUUGCUCAGGUAAUUGCAUUGUCUCAUCCGUCACAUGGUGAUGAGAGGGAUAAGGAACUGAAGUUAAUUAAAAGAAAGCUCCUCAGAGACACUUUGUCUAACCGCCCAUCUUCUGUGCAGAUCCUAUAAGAGGGGAGCUGCUGUAAAGAUGCAUUUACACUGCGCCAACUAGCAGACAAUUAUCGGGAAGGAAGAGUUCUUCCCCGACAAUUGCCUGCUUGUUGGUGGAGGUGAAGCACUGCAAUCACCUCCAGUGUACGGGCGGACAUGAUAUGACUACUGCUAUCGUUUGUCCUCAUACAGAUUCAUUGUUUCUGGGCAGCAGAUCGCUGUUCACACACCAAGAUCUGAUACCCAGAAAUGAUGAUUGAGGUGUCCGCACCACAGAUCAUUUCACCCAAUGAAGGAGUUUUGUUAAUUCAUCGGGUGAAGUGCGGAGACUAUACAUGGACAGAUUAUCGCGAACAAACGUUUGUUCCUUAUAAUUGGCCCAACAAUUGGGCAGUAUAAAUGCACCUUAAAAGGCAUUGUCCAGCCAUUACAAUUUGAUGACCCAUCUUCAGGAUAGGUAAUCAAUAUCCGAUUGUGGAGUCCAACUCCCAGCACCAGCGCCAAUCAGCUGUUUGAAGAGGAAGUGGGGCUUGUACAGGCACCGCUUCCUCUUCAAGAUUACACUGCGCUUCUUUUCUCACUUGCAGAGGUGGCUCAGUGUAAUUACAAUUGCUCAUCCCAUUCAAAUGAACAAAAUAAAUACUUCUAAUUACACUGUGCUGCCGAGACUUCCGAGAUGCACACAGUGUAAUCUCGUCUUCAAACAGCUGAUCGGUGGGGGUGUCGGGAGUCGGACCACACCAAUCUGAAGUCAUCAAUGUGUACUGGCUGCACAAGCUUCCCAUGCCUGUUCCUGCUCUAAAUCUUUGUCCCAAAAUGUCUCUCCUUCAUGUCUCCUCCUCCUCCGUGCUGCCUCACAUUACUCACCUUUUCAUUUUCUUUAGCACCGCUUCCACUAUGCUGAACCCCCCCCCCCAGGUUUGAGCUUCUUCCCCACUCGUUUAGCACUAGCAUUAAAGAGUUUAUCCCAUGAAUAAUUUUCUAAUAAAAGUCCUGAGCGUGCUAGUAGAAAAUUUAAAGUAAUAUAUAUUAUCUAUAGCACAACAAAAAAAUAAAUCAUAAUUUUCUUUUUUUUUUAAAUGCUGCUGGGGCAGGCUCUGGACAAUAUAGUAGUUUGUUCUGGCUCUCCUUGCAGAAGGAGUCUUCCUAAGUAUACUGCCAUAAUGCCGCUGAAGCGGUAUACUGCUGAGGGAAGUGGGUGGCUGCAUAUAUCGUGACGCCACCACUGCAGUUUGUAAACAAGCAGGGGCAGGAGGUCCAGACCAGCAGGGCAGAGAACAGUGUCGGACAACACCUACUGCCUAGUUUGCUGGUAUCUAAAAAUAUAUUAUAUCUUGAGUGUUAUUAGCAGAAUUGUGAAUGCAGCUCUGGAGGUGACAGUUCAAUACACCAGUAAGAGUUCCAAGAUUUGCCCUCCAUUACAAUGACAAACAUUUAUAAUACACUUUUCUCACACGGAGGACUCAAAGUGAAGGGAUGGUUGCAUAGCUGUGGUGACUCCACCAUAUAGGUGCUCAUCCCCAAUGCACAACACACACUAGGGGAAGUGUGGACAGAAACUGGAGUACCCAGAGGAAAACCACGCAAUCACAGGGAAAACAUACAAACUCCAUACAGAUGUUGCCCUUGGUGAGGUUUAAACCAAGGACUCCAGCGCCCCUCUUACCAAACAUUCCCUUACAUACCCAUAAAACACAAAUAAAGAAAGCAGACCUGCAUGAUA
Bufo gargarizans (Asiatic toad) is the source of this 2632-nucleotide long non-coding RNA. RefSeq lists it as uncharacterized. The transcript has 3 exons. Lineage: Eukaryota; Metazoa; Chordata; Amphibia; Anura; Bufonidae. The record is from RefSeq and is a predicted model, not a curated record.